Molecule: long non-coding RNA, 332 nt
Filed under: Musa acuminata (dwarf banana)
Lineage: Eukaryota; Viridiplantae; Streptophyta; Magnoliopsida; Zingiberales; Musaceae
Description: long non-coding RNA (MACU_LNC006308)
Source: RNAcentral
UUUCCGACUGUCGAACGGCGGGUUGGCGCGGCUGGGUUUGGCCACCGCCUGGGGAGGCGGCGAGCGGGCAGGCUGGCCCAGGCCACGCCGGCCUGCCUUCGAAGGAGGAGGAGGAAGGUGGAAGGAAGUGGAAGGAGGGGAGGAGGAGGUGGGUGGCGACCGGGGGGGUUUCUUGCGGUGGGGUUUCGCCGGCGGCGGAGGUCGGGACCCGAAGGCAUCGACGGAGAGGGGGUUCCUCAGACAAUCGUGCGGUCGCAGCACCUCUGUGCCCAUUAGUGUAAGAUCACCUACCACAGAAAAACCUAAAGAAGAAGAGGACGUGAAUUAUUGGC